AGCAAUCUACUAAAAUUCAUUAUUUUCUAACCGUACACAAUCGUAUAUGACCCUGCUAUUCCUAUAUUACAACAACUCAUUCCUGAUCAAAUCUUGAAGCUAAAUAUGCAAAUAUUUUAUUUUCUAUCGUAAUAUUUUCAAAAUUUUAAAUCUUCAUCUUUCUUUUUCUCUCAUCUCUGCUAUUCUCUCUAUUUUCUCUCCUUGUACCUAGAAAAUGCAGUAGGCUCAUCCGAAAAUUGGAGAACUUCAAUGCGCAACCACCAUCUUGUCUCGUCCUAAAGAGUUUCCUUAUUGUGAUAUUUUGUAAGAUCUCUUCUUUUUUCGAAGGAAAACAAAAACUAAAGAAACUGAGAAAUUAAAGUUUCUUGAUUUGUUUCGUGAAUCGGAAUAAGUUUCUCCAUUUUGCAUUUUAGCUUUAUCCCAUUCGAGUUUUUUUUUUUUUAGUUAUCGAUUAGGUAUUUUUCAGGGAUUGAUCUUUGAGGUUCCCCCCUACCCGUGCUACCUUUGAGGUUCCCCCCCCC
This 521-nucleotide long non-coding RNA is filed under the name Brassica napus (rape). Its description in RNAcentral is "long non-coding RNA (BNAP_LNC012992)". The record is from RNAcentral. Lineage: Eukaryota; Viridiplantae; Streptophyta; Magnoliopsida; Brassicales; Brassicaceae.